Molecule: non-coding RNA, 23 nt
Filed under: Cricetulus griseus (Chinese hamster)
Lineage: Eukaryota; Metazoa; Chordata; Mammalia; Rodentia; Cricetidae
Source: RNAcentral
CUGUGAAGCCUCCAGCUAAAGGC